UCGUCUGCACAACAGGCUGCUUCCAGAUGGGUGACUUGUGUAACACUGUAUGAGACACCAAGCUGAGGUCCCAGGCUUGCAGAGGAAAUACAAGAAUAAACUGAGACCAAGAGAGGAGAGGAAGUGUAAGGGUAGCUGAGAACAUCCGCUCUAUUGCUGAGAUCCUCAGCCCUUUGUUGUUUCCUGACUCGUACAGCUGACAGGAGCAGAAGACGGGAAAAUGCUAUGGACUCCAUCAAAAUGCUAAUUGCUUAAGCAAGUUUUCUCUUUCUCCUUGAUAAUGGUGCAAAUCUUCUAUAAUAUGAGGCAUCCCAAGACCCGUCCUGUAUGCAUGUCUCUGAUUCCACGCUCAGAGUUUAAGUUCCAACAGGCAGGAAGAUAUCCCUGGCUCAGAUCCCUCCAUUUGUUCUGCAGAAACAUGUCAGGAUGAAGACAAGUCCUGCUCCUUCUCAUAAGUAGUUCCUUUCAAAUCAGUGUGACACACAGGAGAACAGAAGCCUUCAGCGUCAUGCAAUAGGCUGUAGUCAGCAGCGAUAGCAGCUUGCUUAUUUAUAGUACUUUUUCCCUAGAAGAACUCUGAACACAGACAUAAAGGCAAAAUUGAGAAAGUAAAUAGUAAAAGCAAAGCAUUGAUUGCGUAAAGAAGGAGACGCCAGCCUUUGCCUACUGAAUUAGGUGCACCCCUAACUACAAAUGUAUUUGCUUUUAUUGUAAUGGUUCAGAAUCUUAAUGGUUAUCUAAUGUAUUUUUUAUGGGAUGCAUAUAUUUCUUCAAAACUUCAGGAACCGAUCAUGCUUUUAAUUUCAGAGAGAGUUAGAAAAGCUCAUUUAGGGCUCUAGAUUUGCCCUUUAUAUGUACUUAAUUAAAUAUGUAAACAAAAUGCUCAGAAAGCCUGAAGUGGCUGUCACAGAGCUCACACAAAACUAUCAUUCCUUCUCUUUUUGUCCUCGGAGCAGCCAUGAGCUGGGUCAGACAUCAUCUUGAAUUGAACUAAUUGACAGUUUCUUCAGUUUAAGUGGGUUGUAGUUGGCUAGGAGUGUGCUGGCACUUUUGUUUCUCCUGCUAUGAUCCUUUGCCUACACAGUGACAGAGUAGCAACAGCACUGCCACAGCUAUUUCAGCGUUAGCUCUUACCAGGAAAACAGUAUAACAGAGCAUUCAUUUCAGCUUCAAAAUUCCUUUGAAUCACGUUUAUCCUAGUGCAAGAAAAUAGCCUGAGCUUUUUUUCCAGUUCAUGGGAAGCGUUCUAAUCCAUUCUGCACCUCACAUUUAAUGACAUUGCAUAUUUCUGUGGCAUUAAGCCAUGUAAAUUCUCCUUUGAAGAAAUGCUUUGCAGUAUGGCAACGCUGAGAAGCAGAGCUCAUGGGAAUUAAAAUGAUCAGCGCUGUGGAGUCUCCUAAUGUUGCCCCAGCUAUAAAUUCUGAGAUCAUUAUUAUUUUUUAGUGAUGGAGAACACUGUAAACUUUUUGUAAUAGAAAUGCAAACACAGUGUCUGUGAUCUAAACAACUCACUUCAACAUCAGUGCCAUGAAGGAAGACAGAUAAAAAAUCAGAACAGAGAAAGGAAGUUAUAGGAGCAAGCAGACUAAUUUUGACACAGCUACGUGUGCACUGAGUUACCAUAAAACCAACCUGGAAAAAAAAAAACUAUCUAGUUACUUACUAAAGACCUUGCAUAGCAGGUAACAGAGAGAAGAAAGAGACUUUUAGGACUUAUUGUAAACAAUCUGAGCAUGGGGAAAGAUGUGGGGAACACGGGCUGAUGCAUAUAAAUGUAGGCCAGUGAUAUUGCUGGUACUGGAUGAAGUGGGCAUUUCAUCACAGAAUCAUGGAUCCAAGGAAUAUUUCAAGUUGGAUGGGACCCACAAGGAUCUUUGAGUUCAAUCUUUGGCUCUGCAUAGGACUGCCCAACGUCAAACCCUUAGAGCACUGUCCAAAUGCUCCUUGAACUCUGGCAGCUGGGGCCAUGACCACUGCCAUGGGGAGCCUGUCCCAAAGUACAGUUUCAUCUAAUGUUUACUAAAUAAAUUCUGUUUUCUGUU
Molecule: long non-coding RNA, 2042 nt
Organism: Coturnix japonica (Japanese quail)
Lineage: Eukaryota; Metazoa; Chordata; Aves; Galliformes; Phasianidae
Source: RefSeq, a predicted model, not a curated record